GAUGAACGCUGGCGGCGUGCCUAAUACAUGCAAGUCGAGCGAACAGACGAGGAGCUUGCUCCUCUGACGUUAGCGGCGGACGGGUUAGUAACACGUGGAUAACCUACCUAUAAGACUGGGAUAACUUCGGGAAUCCGGAGCUAAUACCGGAUAAUAUAUUGAACCGCAUGGUUCAAUAGUGAAAGACGGUUUUGCUGUCACUUAUAGAUGGAUCCGCGCCGCAUUAGCUAGUUGUUAAGGUAACGGCUUACCAAGGCAACGAUGCGUAGCCGACCUGAGAGGGGGAUAGGCCACACUGGAACUGGGACGCGGUCCAGACUCCUACGGGAGGCAGCAGAAGGGAAUGGUCCGCAGUGGGCGAAAGCCUGACGGAGCAAAGCCGCGUGAGUGGUGAAGGUCUUCGGAUCGUAAAACUCUGUUAUUAGGGAAGAACAAAUGUGUAAGUAACUAUGCACGUCUUGACGGUACCUGAUCAGAAAGCCACGGCUAACUACGUG
Molecule: ribosomal RNA, 497 nt
Filed under: uncultured bacterium
Lineage: Bacteria
Description: partial 16S ribosomal RNA
Rfam family: Bacterial small subunit ribosomal RNA
Source: RNAcentral